CUGAGUAGCGUGGAGAGUUAAGCCAAGCCUGUGGGGCAGGAGCCCUAAGGAAGCUAGUCCAAGCCUUGAAGGAAUCACGUCCUGGGAGGGUUGUAUUCUUCCAGAAACAGAAAGGACAACUGGUGCUGUAUCAUUCAACCCAUUGCGACACCACACAGGCAUGCAACUGCUUCUUCUGAUGUCAAGGAGUGCCACAUGCAAAAGGACUAAGAUGAGCAGCAUAAAUAAGUUUGGCCACUGGGAAUACAGUACAGGGGUGGGACAACAAUCCCAUAUUUGAAGACCUACUUCUAGCACCAG
This is a long non-coding RNA of Tachyglossus aculeatus (Australian echidna), 300 nucleotides long. RefSeq lists it as uncharacterized. The transcript has 3 exons. Lineage: Eukaryota; Metazoa; Chordata; Mammalia; Monotremata; Tachyglossidae. The record is from RefSeq and is a predicted model, not a curated record.